RNAcentral lists this non-coding RNA (23 nucleotides) under Arabidopsis thaliana (thale cress). The record is from RNAcentral. Lineage: Eukaryota; Viridiplantae; Streptophyta; Magnoliopsida; Brassicales; Brassicaceae.
UCUAUGAUUGGUGGACUUAUACC